GUCCACGCCGUAAACGAUGAGUGCUAAGUGUUGGAGGGUUUCCGCCCUUCAGUGCUGCAGCUAACGCAUUAAGCACUCCGCCUGGGGAGUACGACCGCAAGGUUGAAACUCAAAGGAAUUGACGGGGGCCCGCACAAGCGGUGGAGCAUGUGGUUUAAUUCGAAGCAACGCGAAGAACCUUACCAGGUCUUGACAUCCUUUGAUCACUCUAGAGAUAGAGCUUCCCCUUCGGGGGCAAAGUGACAGGUGGUGCAUGGUUGUCGU
Molecule: ribosomal RNA, 264 nt
Filed under: uncultured bacterium
Lineage: Bacteria
Description: partial 16S ribosomal RNA
Rfam family: Bacterial small subunit ribosomal RNA
Source: RNAcentral